Molecule: ribosomal RNA, 1478 nt
Filed under: metagenome
Description: bacterial SSU rRNA
Rfam family: Bacterial small subunit ribosomal RNA
Source: RNAcentral
AGAGUUUGAUCCUGGCUCAGGACGAACGCUGGCGGCGUGCUUAACACAUGCAAGUCGAACGGUGACCUCGGAGCUUGCUCCGGGCGAUCAGUGGCGAACGGGUGAGUAACACGUGAGUAACCUGCCCCAGACUCUGGGAUAACCCCGGGAAACCGGAGCUAAUACCGGAUACGACACGAAGAGGCAUCUCUAUCGUGUGGAAAGUUUUUCGGUCUGGGAUGGACUCGCGGCCUAUCAGCUAGUUGGUGAGGUAACGGCUCACCAAGGCGACGACGGGUAGCCGGCCUGAGAGGGCGACCGGCCACACUGGGACUGAGACACGGCCCAGACUCCUACGGGAGGCAGCAGUGGGAAUAUUGCACAAUGGGCGAAAGCCUGAUGCAGCGACGCCGCGUGGGGGAUGACGGCCUUCGGGUUGUAAACCCCUUUCAGCAGGGAAGAAGCGAAAGUGACGGUACCUGCAGAAGAAGCACCGGCUAACUACGUGCCAGCAGCCGCGGUAAUACGUAGGGUGCGAGCGUUGUCCGGAAUUAUUGGGCGUAAAGAGCUUGUAGGCGGUCUGUCGCGUCUGCUGUGAAAAUCCGGGGCUCAACCCCGGACUGGCAGUGGGUACGGGCAGACUAGAGUGUGGUAGGGGAGACUGGAAUUCCUGGUGUAGCGGUGAAAUGCGCAGAUAUCAGGAGGAACACCGAUGGCGAAGGCAGGUCUCUGGGCCACUACUGACGCUGAGAAGCGAAAGCAUGGGGAGCGAACAGGAUUAGAUACCCUGGUAGUCCAUGCCGUAAACGUUGGGAACUAGGUGUGGGUCUCAUUCCACGAGAUCCGUGCCGCAGCUAACGCAUUAAGUUCCCCGCCUGGGGAGUACGGCCGCAAGGCUAAAACUCAAAGGAAUUGACGGGGGCCCGCACAAGCGGCGGAGCAUGCGGAUUAAUUCGAUGCAACGCGAAGAACCUUACCAAGGCUUGACAUAUACCGGAAACAUUCAGAGAUGGAUGCCCCGCAAGGUCGGUAUACAGGUGGUGCAUGGUUGUCGUCAGCUCGUGUCGUGAGAUGUUGGGUUAAGUCCCGCAACGAGCGCAACCCUCGUUCUAUGUUGCCAGCGGAUAAUGCCGGGGACUCAUAGGAGACUGCCGGGGUCAACUCGGAGGAAGGUGGGGAUGACGUCAAAUCAUCAUGCCCCUUAUGUCUUGGGCUUCACGCAUGCUACAAUGGCCGGUACAAAGGGCUGCGAUACCGCAAGGUGGAGCGAAUCCCAAAAAACCGGUCUCAGUUCGGAUUGGGGUCUGCAACUCGACCCCAUGAAGUCGGAGUCGCUAGUAAUCGCAGAUCAGCAACGCUGCGGUGAAUACGUUCCCGGGCCUUGUACACACCGCCCGUCAAGUCACGAAAGUCGGUAACACCCGAAGCCGGUGGCCCAACCUUUUGGAGGGAGCCGUCGAAGGUGGGACUGGCGAUUGGGACUAAGUCGAAACAAGGUA